AUUGAACGCUGGCGGCAGGCCUAACACAUGCAAGUCGAACGGUAACAGAAAGCAGCUUGCUGCUUUGCUGACGAGUGGCGGACGGGUGAGUAAUGUCUGGGAAACUGCCUGAUGGAGGGGGAUAACUACUGGAAACGGUAGCUAAUACCGCAUAACGUCGCAAGACCAAAGAGGGGGACCUUCGGGCCUCUUGCCAUCGGAUGUGCCCAGAUGGGAUUAGCUAGUAGGUGGGGUAACGGCUCACCUAGGCGACGAUCCCUAGCUGGUCUGAGAGGAUGACCAGCCACACUGGAACUGAGACACGGUCCAGACUCCUACGGGAGGCAGCAGUGGGGAAUAUUGCACAAUGGGCGCAAGCCUGAUGCAGCCAUGCCGCGUGUAUGAAGAAGGCCUUCGGGUUGUAAAGUACUUUCAGCGGGGAGGAAGGGAGUAAAGUUAAUACCUGUGCUCAUUGACGUUACCCGCAGAAGAAGCACCGGCUAACUCCGUG
Molecule: ribosomal RNA, 490 nt
Filed under: uncultured bacterium
Lineage: Bacteria
Description: partial 16S ribosomal RNA
Rfam family: Bacterial small subunit ribosomal RNA
Source: RNAcentral